CCUACGGGUGGCAGCAGUGAGGAAUAUUGGUCAAUGGGCGCGAGCCUGAACCAGCCAAGUCGCGUGCGGGAAGACGGUCCUAUGGAUUGUAAACCUCUUUUGUUGGGGAGCAAAAGACGCUACGCGUGGCCUUCCGCGUGUACCCGAAGAAAAAGCAUAGGCUAACUACGUGCCAACAGCCACGGUGAUACGUAGGUGGCAAGCGUUGUCCGGAUUUAUUGGGUGUAAAGGGCGUGUAGCCGGGCUGACAAGUAAGAUGUGAAAUCCGGGGGCUCAACCCCCGAACUGCAUUUGAAACUGUUGGUCGUGAGUAUCGGAGAGGCAGGCGGAAUUCCUAGUGUAGCGGUGAAAUGCGUAGAUAUUAGGAAGAACACCAGUGGCGAAGGCGGCCUGCUGGACGACAACUGACGGUGAGGCGCGAAAGCGUGGGGAGCAAACAGGAUUAGAUACCCUGGUAGUC
Molecule: ribosomal RNA, 460 nt
Filed under: uncultured bacterium
Lineage: Bacteria
Description: partial 16S ribosomal RNA
Rfam family: Bacterial small subunit ribosomal RNA
Source: RNAcentral